CCAGUAAACGGCGGCCGUAACUAUAACGGUCCUAAGGUAGCGAAAUUCCUUGUCGGGUAAGUUCCGACCCGCACGAAAGGCGUAACGAUUUGGGCACUGUCUCAACGAGAGACUCGGUGAAAUCAUAGUACCUGUGAAGAUGCAGGUUACCCGCGACAGGACGGAAAGACCCCGUGGAGCUUUACUGUAGCCUGAUAUUGAAAUUCGGCACAGCUUGUACAGGAUAGGUAGGAGCCUUUGAAACGUGAGCGCUAGCUUACGUGGAGGCGCUGGUGGGAUACUACCCUAGCUGUGUUGGCUUUCUAACCCGCACCACUUAUCGUGGUGGGAGACAGUGUCAGGCGGGCAGUUUGACUGGGGCGGUCGCCUCCUAAAAGGUAACGGAGGCGCUCAAAGGUUCCCUCAGAAUGGUUGGAAAUCAUUCAUAGAGUGUAAAGGCAUAAGGGAGCUUGACUGCGAGACCUACAAGUCGAGCAGGGUCGAAAGACGGACUUAGUGAUCCGGUGGUUCCGCAUGGAAGGGCCAUCGCUCAACGGAUAAAAGCUACCCCGGGGAUAACAGGCUUAUCUCCCCCAAGAGUUCACAUCGACGGGGAGGUUUGGCACCUCGAUGUCGGCUCAUCGCAUCCUGGGGCUGUAGUCGGUCCCAAGGGUUGGGCUGUUCGCCCAUUAAAGCGGUACGCGAGCUGGGUUCAGAACGUCGUGAGACAGUUCGGUCCCUAUCCGUCGUGGGCGUAGGAAAUUUGAGAGGAGCUGUCCUUAGUACGAGAGGACCGGGAUGGACAUACCUCUGGUGUACCAGUUGUCGUGCCAACGGCAUAGCUGGGUAGCUAUGUAUGGACGGGAUAAGUGCUGAAAGCAUCUAAGCAUGAAGCCCCCCUCAAGAUGAGAUUUCCCAACUUCGGUUAUAAGAUCCCUCAAAGAUGAUGAGGUUAAUAGGUUCGAGGUGGAAGCGUGGUGACACGUGGAGCUGACGAAUACUAAUCGAUCGAAGACUUAAUCAAUUU
RNAcentral lists this ribosomal RNA (1006 nucleotides) under Salmonella enterica subsp. diarizonae. RNAcentral describes it as "partial 23S ribosomal RNA". It matches the Rfam family "Bacterial large subunit ribosomal RNA", at positions 1920 to 2925 of the family's 2925-position model. Lineage: Bacteria; Pseudomonadati; Pseudomonadota; Gammaproteobacteria; Enterobacterales; Enterobacteriaceae. The record is from RNAcentral.